GUAGGAUUGUACAAAUGUUUUAUGGCAGAACAGUCCGAAGCGAAUUCUGACGUGCAAAUCGAUCGUCUGACUUUGCUAUAGGGGCGAAAGACUAAUCGAACUAUCUAGUAGCU
This is a non-coding RNA of Onchocerca flexuosa, 113 nucleotides long. NCBI's taxonomy places the organism in Eukaryota, Metazoa, Nematoda, Chromadorea, Rhabditida, Onchocercidae. The record is from Rfam.